AGUGAACGCUGGCGGUAGGCCUAACACAUGCAAGUCGAACGGCAGCACAGUAAGAGCUUGCUCUUACGGGUGGCGAGUGGCGGACGGGUGAGGAAUACAUCGGAAUCUACUUUUUCGUGGGGGAUAACGUAGGGAAACCUACGCUAAUACCGCAUACGACCUACGGGUGAAAGCAGGGGAUCUUCGGACCUUGCGCGAUUGAAUGCGCCGAUGUCGGAUUAGCUAGUUGGCGGGGUAAAGGCCCACCAAGGCGACGAUCCGUAGCUGGUCUGAGAGGAUGAUAAGCGACACUGGAAGUGAGACACGGUCCAGGCGCCUACGGGAGGCAGCAGUGGGGAAUGUUGGACAGUAGGCGCAAGCCUGAUCCAGCCAUACCGAGUGGGUGAAGAAGGCCUUGGGGUUGUAAAGCCCUUUUGUUGGGAAAGAAAAGCAGCAGGUUAAUACCCCGCUGUUCUGACGGUACCCAAAGAAUAAGCACCGGCUAACUUCGUG
This 492-nucleotide ribosomal RNA is filed under the name uncultured bacterium. RNAcentral's name for it is "partial 16S ribosomal RNA". It matches the Rfam family "Bacterial small subunit ribosomal RNA", at positions 29 to 507 of the family's 1533-position model. The record is from RNAcentral.